Molecule: long non-coding RNA, 202 nt
Filed under: Mytilus galloprovincialis (Mediterranean mussel)
Lineage: Eukaryota; Metazoa; Mollusca; Bivalvia; Mytilida; Mytilidae
Source: RNAcentral
CACUUGGGGUUUCGCCUGGCAUCUGGCAAACGGACACAGGUUUCUAAAAGUAGUUUUUCCUGGACGGCCACGAAACAUUUAGAUAUUAGUAGUAGAUAUUUGAAGUCAAUAUGAUUGCCACAAUUUGUUAUGUGUAUUGUGACAUGUUUGUACAUAUUUGUUUAAUAAAAUUCGGCAGCUCAGAAUAUACACAAGCAGCAAG